CCACAAGAGAAACAUCUCCUUCGGUUUGCUCUUGAGCUGAGUAGACUUCUACUGUAAGUUCCCUGUCUGCCUGUGUCUACUGCCGGGACAAAAAGAAAAUGGUAAUGGAACCAUUUCCCUAAGCACAACAGAUGCCCCAUUUCAAGCAGAAGCAGGAAAACUGAAAAGUCUGUAAACGAACAAAUGGC
Molecule: long non-coding RNA, 188 nt
Organism: Sceloporus undulatus (fence lizard)
Lineage: Eukaryota; Metazoa; Chordata; Lepidosauria; Squamata; Phrynosomatidae
Exons: 3
Source: RefSeq, a predicted model, not a curated record